GACAGCUAAUAGAUUCCACCUUUUUCGGGGUGGAAAUCUCUUCUUAGAGGGACUGGCGAUUAUUAGUCGCACGAGAUUGAGCAAUAACAGGUCUGUGAUGCCCUUAGAUGUUCUGGGCCGCACACGCGCUACACUGAAUGAGUCAGCUAGUUUCUCCCUUAUCGAGAGGUACGGGUAAACUGUUGAACUUCAUUCGUGGUAGGGAUCGGGGCUUGCAAUUAUUCCCCGUGAACCAGGAAUUCCCAGUAGGCGCAAGUCAUCAGCUUGCGUCGAUUACGUCCCUGCCCUUUGUACACACCGCCCGUCGCUACUACCGAUUGAACGUUAUAGUGAGGACCUCGGAUUGUUUGUUUUGCGUCUAACGCCGCUCAACUGACGAAAAGACGUCCAAACUGUUGCGUUUAGAGGAAGUAAAAGUCGUAACAAGG
This 428-nucleotide ribosomal RNA is filed under the name Centropages bradyi. RNAcentral's name for it is "bacterial SSU rRNA". It matches the Rfam family "Eukaryotic small subunit ribosomal RNA", at positions 1368 to 1799 of the family's 1831-position model. The record is from RNAcentral. Lineage: Eukaryota; Metazoa; Arthropoda; Copepoda; Calanoida; Centropagidae.